Molecule: long non-coding RNA, 7128 nt
Organism: Hemicordylus capensis (graceful crag lizard)
Lineage: Eukaryota; Metazoa; Chordata; Lepidosauria; Squamata; Cordylidae
Exons: 2
Source: RefSeq, a predicted model, not a curated record
GAUGGAGCUGGAGGGCCCUCAGGAGCUGGCGGCCCGUGUUCUUUGAACCCUUUUGCUCAAUUAUAGCUACGCCCCUGAACUAAAGAACCAUUCAAAUGCUGCCCUGGAUCAAUUAAUGGAUUAACCAAAAACAGCACACAGAGUAGGGGGUUUCUAGCCUUUUGCAGCAUGUGAUUGGUGGGGUUGUUUGCUUUUGGAUAUUUUUGAUGCUGUCAUUAAUCAGUCUAAUCAUUACCUUAAUUUCAAUUUUAGGGUACAGCCCUCAGGGAAAGCAGGCCCCUGUGCAGGCAGCCCCAUUGUAAUGCAAGGGAGCAAUGUGAGAGCGCAGGAGAGAUCUCUUUCAGUUCAUAGAGGCUUCCACAGGAGCAUUUCCUGCAAGAUUGUGCCCAUGAUUAAUGGAUAGAACCAACUUUUAAUGCGGUAGGGUAAGGUUUAGCUGAUAUUGCGAAGAGGCACACUUGUUGGAGGCUAUUGUUUCUAUAAUAAGAAGGACUUCCAAAGAACAUGUGAAGAAGGGGCUUUUCUUUUUUAAGAUGAAUGGCAGCUUUUGUUUAUGGACUUGUAGGCUCACUUAUACUCCCUUUAAUAUUUCAUGACCUGUACUACUUCAGACUGCAGGUGGGGUUUACAUGACGGAAUAUUUCUUUAUAUUAAAAAUGCUCAGCAUAAAAACUAGAUAUAAAAACUAGAUGCCAGGGAGAAAGGUUCUAGCUUCUAGCCUAGCCUUUUCCCUGUCAUGCUCGUUUUCUAUGUGAUGAGGAUAGUAUUUUUAAGGCAUGUUCAAUUUUGUGAGCUCUCACCUGAACUCUGAAGUGGUAUAGAUUGGGGUUUUUUUGUAUCCCCCCCACACCUUUUUGUCUGUUAUGAUUUAGUGUGUUGUGUGUUUUUAUCUCAUGUUUUAAUGUUGUGUUGUAAGCUGCCCAGAGAACAAUUUGUUAUGGGGUGGCUAAUAAAUAAAGUUCAUUGUUGUUGUUGUUGUUAUUUAGACCAGACACCAACAAACUAGGCCUCAAUCUUUACAGGUUUUUGGAUCACGAGCCGAUUGUGCAUGCAUAUAUGUACCAACUCGAUCAAUUAAUGCUUAUAUACAUAUGACUGUUUCACACUUGUAUGGUCAUCAUUUGAUGAGUGCAAUAUCAGCUAAUGACUGACUUUGAGCAUUGCUACAUGUUACACUCAUCAUGUGAAAAGUAGCCACAUGUAAAAGUAGCCACAUGAUUCUGACAGUUGAGAAUUGUGAAAGAUUCCCUGGAGAUAGGCCAAGAAAGCCGGAGGGUUUUAUAGACCUCCUGGACUUUCCCCAUCCCAUUGUUUAACUUUGCCAAUCUUAUGUCUCCUUUUAGUGGCUGUGAUGUUUAGGGAGAAGAAUAGUGACAAUUAAAACAGAGACAGGAAAGCACAGGUAAACAACAGGAUAGAGAAGGAUGCCUCCACAGUCUCCUCCAGUUUCUCUGCCUGUCUCCAGGUAAGCCCUCACAGAAUGCUCAAGUCAGAGCCUGGGGUAUAUGUGGUUAUUUUUUGUGAGAUGACUGCAGUAUGUUAGGGGUGUUCAUGGAACCAGCUGGUCCGGUUUCGUUCAAGUCUGAACCGGACCAGGAUAGUUUGGUCUGGCACCCCCUCGAAUCUGCGCCCCCCGGUCUGGUCCGGUGGGGUUGGUGAACUUUUCAAAUAAUAACAUAUUUUUAAAAACUUACCCCCUCUGGGGGUGUUCUCCAAGGCAGCAGCAGGGGGUGUUCGGAGGUUCCUCCUCCCCACCGGCCUCCUUUUGUUCCAAAACUGGCCCAUUUGUUCCAAAACCGUUUGUUUCCCUAGCACAGUGGCCAUAUACAAAAACUCGUGAAGCCCCCAAACAGACAGGGAGCAGAGGGGUUUGGUCCAGGGUCAGACCAAACAGCGGGUGGUUCAGUUCGACCCCAAACCAUCAAACCAAACUGGUUCGACAUCAAACACAUUUUACGUCGGAACUGUUUGCACAUUCCUUCACUAUGUUGUCAAGCUUGAAUGGGUUAAUUUGAACCUGACUUAAACCACUGAUUUAACACACAAGCACAACUUUAAUUUCACGUCACAUACAAUAUUUUUCAGUAGAAUCAGUUUAUAGAUUCAACUGUCAAUGAUGAAUUAUAUGGUAAUGCAGAGAUAUCAAGUGAUUUAUAUUAGGGAUGGGCAAAUCGAUUUGGGUAUAAAACGAUUUGUACCCAAAUCUACCUGUUUGCAAAACAAAUUGCCUCUGUGCUAGCUGGCCAGAUUCGGGUCCAAACCAAAUCGCCCAGAUUUCGGACCUAAAAAAUUCAUAGAAUCAGACCUCCAUAUUGUGACAAUCUCUUUUGCUGUCUCCAUUUUGUUUUAGGAUUUUUUUUUGAAAAUCCCACCCUCCCAAGCUUCAGAUUGGUGACUUAUAGUGUGCAAUGAUUGGCUGGUGAUUCCCCCCUGGUUCCAGAUUGGCUCGUUUCCAUUCAAAUAUUGUGCUGCCAGGGGUGACUGACUCAGCAUUGGCUAGGGGAAGGGUGGGGAGAGUUUGAAGGAGGGAUUUUCAAAUGUACUUAAGGAAGCAGCCAGUCACUAUUCUGCCUUUCUGCCUCGUGGGAUGAGAGAGAGAGAGAGAGAGAGAGCGAGAGAGCGCCAGAGGAGCUUUGCCUUGCCUUGCCUGCUUGUGGCCUGGAAUGGAUUCUCUUCUUUUUGUUCCUGCUUUCCUGAUUGAGGAAAAGAGAAGAGAAUUUUUUUCCUGAUUGAGGAAAAGAGAAGAUAAUUUUCCCCCACCCACUUCCUGUUGCUGAGAGAAUCACUGUCUGCGCCUGCUAUCUGUGAGAAUUGAUUUGGGUACAAAUAUGAUUUGUACCCAAAUCUAUCUGUUUGGGGUGAUUUGUGAAUAAAACAAAUCACCCCUGUGGUGAUUUGGACCACAAAACACUCAGCUGGCCAGAUUCGGACCCAAAACAUAUCAGGGGUGAUUCGAUUUGGGUACAAAUUGAAUUAGAAAAAAUAUAUUCAUGCACAUCCCUAAUUUACAUACAUGUGUGAACCAGGCUUGAUGACUAGCUGCUGAACAUGUGAAAAGAAUCCAUUGAAAAGCAUUAUGUUGGAGGUGGGUGAGGAGUUGUGAAAGUUCUAUUUGUUUUAUGGAUGAUAGCCCAUUCAACAACAACAACAACAAAAAAAUUUAUAUACUGCUUUUCAACAAAAGGUUCAAAAGCAGUUUACAUAGAGAAAUAAUAAGAAAAUAAGAUGGAUCCCUGUCCCCAAAGGGCUCACAAUCUAAAAAGCAGCAGAAAACAGACACCAGCAACCGUCACUGGAGGUCCUGUGCUGGGGGUGGAUGGGGCCAGUUACUUUCCCACCAUGUUAAAAAGGUGCCUCUUUGCCCAGUUAGCAGGGAUUCUUAUAUUCAGACAUAUGAGUAAUCAAUAUUGUAGUCCCCAUGUGAUGAAUAUACAUGUGUGAAUCAGCCCUGGGAGACUAGUUCCCUCAUCACACUUUCCAGAAAAAAGUUGGCGCUCAGCUUCACAGACCUCAAUUACCAGCCUUCCUUCCCCUACCCCUUAGGAGUCUCCAGGCAGCAGGCCUCGUUUGAUGUCCCUUGCAACUUGACUCUGUCUAGGCUCAACCAACAUUAAUAAGCAGCUAAAACCAGAGCUGCCAAUUUAUUUUUAGAGUCUUCUUCUUUGGUUAUUUUCAAAUGAUCUGUUAUAAUUUCAUGCUUAAAUAACACUAAAUAACGUUCUGUGUUUGCACAGUGUAAUUGGAAGAGACGAGAGGCCCAGGCAAACCAUCAUUGCUUGAUUUUUUACUGAUAUUUUCAACCAGAAAAGGGUUGACAGUUAACCCUUUCAGAGCAUUGCCAAACAGAGCCUUUGACUCUGCACACUGCCUGGAGCUAUCUAAAGGAACAAAAUGAAAAGGAAAGCCCUCCAUAGAUGGCUGGGUGUUAUCAAGGAAAAAAUUACUUUACAUAUUUUGCAUCGUUAUUAUUCCACAAACCAUCAGUGUACAUGGGAUCUUGCCAAGUAGCAUAAGCAGAGCGGAUGUUUUCCCUGCGAACCUUACCUUAUAAAUGUUGACAAAAGGGGAGACAAUAAAAUGAGGGGAAGGAAAUAUCCCUAGCUGAAUGGAGACGUAUGGGGGCAAAUGGGUUCAUGAUUCCCAAACCUAAUCCUAUAGCCAGGGCUGCAUGUAAUGCAAGCCUUUUUUUUAAAAAAAAGCUAAAGACAUCCAGCCAAUCAGUUGCUUAGGUGGCAACUUGUGAAGGAAGGAUUCACUCCCCUGGCACAAGUCUUUUGUUCCCCCCAAAGAGCCAAUCAUCAGCAGGAUUCCACAACCCCAGCAGCUGGGUUUGCUUGUUGUUAGAUUGGUUCCAGAGAGGGGGGAAAGUGUGAGAGAGGUAACAGUAACCAGGGCCCAGGGUGAAUGUGAACAGGAACAAUAAAAAUAUGCACUUGGUUUUGGUGAGGACUACAGAGCUUCAGCCAAAGACUUCAUGAAAAAGGCAAGGAGGACUUUCAAGUGAGCAAGAGAGAAGAGUCAUCCCAGACCCAGAGGAGAUCUGAGCGGGAGUUCCAGGCAUUCUUCUCCUGAGAAAUUCUGGAGAAUGAUGAGCAGGGCCAGAUUCUCCCCAAGUCUACACAUGGCAGAUUUUCCUUUUGGUUCUCAAAGAUUGCUCACACAGCACUCAUGGCUAUCUGUGUUAAGAACCUCUGGUUAACACUGGGAACCUUUUUCCUUGGCAGUUGUGACUUGUAGUCAUUUUUAAAGCACUGACUUGACUGGGGGUUUAUCUGACCCCAAUAUCAUAUUAUGAAAUGCUUUUUACAAGCAAUAGAGGUUUAAGAGACACAAACAACUGUAUACAUUUAUUCUUCACUUUAAAUGUAACAUUUUUCCCCCUGAAGUGGAAAACUACUCUGGAGAUGUUGGGUGGGUGGGGGGAAUAUUGGUUGGGUAUUGAUCUCACGGGCACCAAUUGAGAUCAAUACCACUGCUAGAUAUUCCCCAUUCAAGCUGUUGAUAAUAGUCUGAAUUUGGUUGUUUUAGAGUGUGAUUUGAAUAAUAUGUUGUUUUGCCAUAAGAUACUUUCACCAAUCUCAUGAGAGGGCCAGUCUACUGGGGAGGACCUUAGGUUUGCAAAAACCUUCAGUCUUCUGUCAGACUGCACACUCAUGAGAUGAGCAAACCCCCCAAAGGAGGCCCCAUUUGCACGGGCCCCCUGCUAUCUCUGGUUAAUGAUAGAACUUUUGCACAGCGACCCCCUCCUCUCCAGGGAAGCCUUUCAUGCACCCAAAGGAGUUUUUGAUGCUCCUGUGUCUGGAUGUAGCCAGGUGGGCAGACUGGGGAAACACCAGGACUGGGGACAGAUCUUUACGCUCAUUCAAAUUCCCUGGUUUCGGACUGGCAUCCCAUCAUAUGCAGAUCUGCGGUCGCAGGGUAUUGCGGGAGAGGGGAGCCCCGUAUUCUAGUGACCCCAGGAGAUUUUGGUUGCGCUUCCAGGCAAAAACAAAGAUGGCUAUGUUUGGGCAGAUGGGCUGGCAGAGGGCAUGCUUUGACAGCGUAGCAAUCACUAAGAGAGGGAGAGUGUUGCCAGGGUACCCAUCCCUGCGGCUUGCUUGUAUAGAGCAACCUGGCUGGGCAGCAUCUGCUGUCUGGCCCCCAUGAGUGUCUGACACUCUUAUGAGAGAGUGGUUCAUGGGAGAAGUCCAUGUUCGGACAUAAUGCUGCCACUGAAAAACCUCAGGUUACAGUGGCAAAACGCACUACCAACCCAAGAUUCAAACUGGAGUUUGGUGAGGCAAACCUCAGGUCGCUUUUGCUGCGCAACCGUGGUUGCACGCGUUCUGUUGUAAUGGAGUUCCAACCUCUGCCCCAUUUAACUGUGGCUUUGCAUGACAUGUGAAUGUGGCCAUUCUGUCUGUCCUUAACCUUGGUUAAAGAUGUCCUGUCCAGUUGCUAUUUUUCUCCUAUCAAUGUUCCGUCCUCUUUUUUACACUUCCUUUUCUUUCCCCUGCCUUUGCAUUUGGUGCUUGUGUGUCUUGGCUUCUAGCCACAGCUUCCCAUUGUAUGCAGCUCUUUGAGUUUCUGCUCCAUCCACACACCCCUCCCAUACUCCCUAAUGCACAAACCCACCCCAGCUCUGUUUGUAUCACCAUUUGCAUUUCUGCUGACUGUGAGGAUUGGUUUAAUUUCAUGGGUGUCAUUUCCUUCUAGAAAUCUCUCUCUGAGCAGCGGCCCAACGAAUCCCUGAUAAAACAUAUUUUUCCUACGGUAAUGAUUUUAUGGGCCCAUAAGUCAUGAAUUUAUUAUGAUCUCAGCCCCUGCUGCUGAUUGCUGUAAAAUGCAAAGUAAUUAACAGCGAGCGACAGCUACUAUUCCCACCUGGUACUGUGUUCUUUCCUACACUGAUGGCUUUGAUUAAAGUAAUGACUAAAGUGUGAAGCUGGGCUGUAAAAUAUUAGCAUGAUUAAUGCCACAUCCUAAAUAAGAAACAAAACUAAUGGGUGAAGGGCUGGGGAACUUUUAAAUAAAUAUAUAUAUUCUCCCCCCUUGUCUCCUUCCAGCCAUUGUUCUGUCUCAUUUAUGCAUUGCUUUUUGUUAAAUAAUGUAUGGCUUUGAGGGAGGGCCAUAGGGCAUACUACCAAAGCAUCUUGCAGGCUGACAACAUCUUAAGUGCCUGUGUUAAUUUUAUAGCCCUUUCCGCUGGACAAGAGAAAGGGGACAGGAUUCUUAAUGGCAGAGAUCCUGUAGCAGUUUAGAGAGAACAGGGAUGUAUAAGGUAAAAUUGCUAGGGAAAAAAAUAUACAAUCAAAGUUAACCGAAUAUUUAUUUAUUUAAAAGAUUUGUAAGCCACCAUUCUUCACUUAUGGAUUCAUGGAAGCUUAUAAAAUUUUUUGUUAAAAGUCCAGAUAAGAGAACGCAAAGUACAAACUUUUUGUGUGGAGAAACUGACUUCUGUUCAUUAGGCUCAUAAAAGAGAUAUAUAUUUUAGAUGUAACAAUAAUAAUUAUUGUUAAUCUUAAGUUUCAUAUUAUAUGAUUUAUCAUGUGAUUGUUUCAUGUUUCAUAUGUAUUUUUAAACAUCUGUUGGAAUGUUUCAAUUGCAUUUUUAAUGUUUUCUUAAAAUAAAUGUUUUUUAAAAAGAAAA